AGUGAACGCUGGCGGUAGGCCUAACACAUGCAAGUCGAACGGCAGCACAGUAAGAGCUUGCUCUUACGGGUGGCGAGUGGCGGACGGGUGAGGAAUACAUCGGAAUCUACUUUUUCGUGGGGGAUAACGUAGGGAAACUUACGCUAAUACCGCAUACGACCUACGGGUGAAAGCAGGGGAUCUUCGGACCUUGCGCGAUUGAAUGAGCCGAUGUCGGAUUAGCUAGUUGGCGGGGUAAAGGCCCACCAAGGCGACGAUCCGUAGCUGGUCUGAGAGGAUGAUCAGCCACACUGGAACUGAGACACGGUCCAGACUCCUACGGGAGUCAGCAGUGGGGAAUAUUUGACAAUGGGUGCAAGCCUGAUCCAGCCAUACCGCGUGGGUGAAGAAGGCCUUCGGGUUGUAAAGCCCUUUUGUUGGGAAAGAAAAGCAGCAGGUUAAUCCCCCGCUGUUCUGCCGGUACCCAAAGAAUAAGCACCGGCUAACUUCGUG
Molecule: ribosomal RNA, 492 nt
Filed under: uncultured bacterium
Lineage: Bacteria
Description: partial 16S ribosomal RNA
Rfam family: Bacterial small subunit ribosomal RNA
Source: RNAcentral